Talpa occidentalis (Iberian mole) is the source of this 973-nucleotide long non-coding RNA. RefSeq lists it as uncharacterized. NCBI's taxonomy places the organism in Eukaryota, Metazoa, Chordata, Mammalia, Eulipotyphla, Talpidae. The record is from RefSeq and is a predicted model, not a curated record. The transcript has 4 exons.
UGAAAGGUUGGAACUUCAGCAGCUAAACCACUUGUAAGGAGGGGUGUCUGUGGAGAAGUUGCCAGUUUCCAGGUGUGGUUUCAACUUGGACCUUAGUCUCUGCUCAGCAGACACUAUCUGGAGUAGGAUGGACUGCAUCUGGUCACAUACUGGCAGUUUGCUUGUUCUCUCUCUCUCUUCUCCUCCCUUCCUCCCUCUCCCUGCUCCCCUCUUUCCUUACUCCCUGUAUAAAUCCUGUUGUUGUUUUUUUUUUCUCCCCAUGUGGCUGCUUUAGAGUCAUGCCCUGAAGCUAUAAGUAUGUGGGUGAGGAACCACCAAAUAGGUCACCCUAAAUCUCUUGGGUUUGCCCCAUUUCAUGACCAUACAGAAAUCACUCUGAAAUGGCCUCCAUGGGCAAUGAGGGUGAGAUAAGUGGCUUGAGAAAUAUAUUCAGAGAAAGUAAUACAGAAGUUGAAAUCUGAAAUUCCUGGCAUUCCAGGUAGGGGAGCAGCAUGGGCAAUGACAAAAGAGAGUCUAAGACAAGAGUCUGGAGCAGCUGCAGCACACUAUGCAGAUGGCUGUCUUAUUAAGGUCAGAAAGAGACAGAAAGCCAGAGGCAGGCAGCAGCCAGGCCAGGACCACAACUCAGACCAACUGAAGACAAUGUGAAACCAUCGUCCAAAGAGAUCCCUACAACCUACAAGGUGCAUAGUUAUGUAACCGGUAUGGCCAUAUGGAAUAUGGCACAAUAAGAAGAAAGUAAUUGCCCCUACAUGCAAUGGCCUGAGUGAAUCAGAGAAUUAUGCUGAAUACGAUGCCUCUUGGAAGUAUAGAAGAGAUCUAAUGUCAUCUGACUCUUGUCUGCCAACCAUUCGGACCAGGUCAAUGCAGAAACGCCCUUCUAUCUGCCAUCUGAAUCUGAACUUUUUUAGAAGUGCUAAAGGAUUUCUAAACAAAUCAGCAUUGGCAAGAAAUGAUUAUAAACUGAUGAUAU